This is a small nucleolar RNA of Heteronotia binoei (common prickly gecko), 134 nucleotides long. RefSeq annotates it as small nucleolar RNA SNORA84. The transcript has a single exon. The record is from RefSeq and is a predicted model, not a curated record. Lineage: Eukaryota; Metazoa; Chordata; Lepidosauria; Squamata; Gekkonidae.
GCCCUGUGGUUACUGGUCACUGUUGUCUCAGUGCAGUGCUUCAGUUAUUAAAAAUGGGCAGAAAGUAAUACUCUGACAUAUGCAUGGAGUCUUUGAUAUUUUGAAGCCUCCAUAGCCCGGUCAUUGUUACACUU